AGAGUUUGAUCCUGGCUCAGGAUGAACGCUGGCGGCGUGCCUAACACAUGCAAGUCGAGCGAUUUUCUUCGGAAGAGAGCGGCGGACGGGUGAGUAACGCGUGGGUAACCUGCCUCAUACACAUGGAUAACAUACCGAAAGGUAUGCUAAUACAAGAUGAUAUAAGAGAUUCGCAUGGAUUUCUUAUCAAAGCUCCGGCGGUAUGAGAUGGACCCGCGUCUGAUUAGCUAGUUGGUAAGGUAACGGCUUACCAAGGCGACGAUCAGUAGCCGACCUGAGAGGGUGAUCGGCCACAUUGGAACUGAGACACGGUCCAAACUCCUACGGGAGGCAGCAGUGGGGAAUAUUGCACAAUGGGCGAAAGCCUGAUGCAGCAACGCCGCGUGAGCGAUGAAGGCCUUCGGGUCGUAAAGCUCUGUCCUCAAGGAAGAUAAUGACGGUACUUGAGGAGGAAGCCCCGGCUAACUACGUGCCAGCAGCCGCGGUAAUACGUAGGGGGCUAGCGUUAUCCGGAUUUACUGGGCGUAAAGGGUGCGUAGGUGGUUUCUUAAGUCAGGAGUGAAAGGCUACGGCUCAACCGUAGUAAGCUCUUGAAACUGGGAAACUUGAGUGCAGGAGAGGAAAGUGGAAUUCCUAGUGUAGCGGUGAAAUGCGUAGAUAUUAGGAGGAACACCAGUAGCGAAGGCGGCUUUCUGGACUGUAACUGACACUGAGGCACGAAAGCGUGGGGAGCAAACAGGAUUAGAUACCCUGGUAGUCCACGCCGUAAACGAUGAGUACUAGGUGUCGGGGGUUACCCCCCUCGGUGCCGCAGCUAACGCAUUAAGUACUCCGCCUGGGGA
Molecule: ribosomal RNA, 842 nt
Filed under: uncultured bacterium
Lineage: Bacteria
Description: bacterial SSU rRNA
Rfam family: Bacterial small subunit ribosomal RNA
Source: RNAcentral